Molecule: ribosomal RNA, 538 nt
Filed under: uncultured bacterium
Lineage: Bacteria
Description: bacterial SSU rRNA
Rfam family: Bacterial small subunit ribosomal RNA
Source: RNAcentral
AAUAGAUACCCUGGUAGUCCACGCCGUAAACGAUGUCGACUUGGAGGUUGUUCCCUUGAGGGAGUGGCUUCCGGAGCUAACGCGUUAAGUCGACCGCCUGGGGAGUACGGCCGCAAGGUUAAAACUCAAAUGAAUUGACGGGGGCCCGCACAAGCGGUGGAGCAUGUGGUUUAAUUCGAUGCAACGCGAAGAACCUUACCUACUCUUGACAUCCACGGAACUUUUCAGAGAUGAAUUGGUGCCUUCGGGAACCGUGAGACAGGUGCUGCAUGGCUGUCGUCAGCUCGUGUUGUGAAAUGUUGGGUUAAGUCCCGCAACGAGCGCAACCCUUAUCCUUUGUUGCCAGCGGUUCGGCCGGGAACUCAAAGGAGACUGCCAGUGAUAAACUGGAGGAAGGUGGGGAUGACGUCAAGUCAUCAUGGCCCUUACGAGUAGGGCUACACACGUGCUACAAUGGCGCAUACAAAGAGAAGCGACCUCGCGAGAGCAAGCGGACCUCAUAAAGUGCGUCGUAGUCCGGAUUGGAGUCUGCAGCUCG